GACGUACCUAACCCCCGUCCCGUUCCGAU
RNAcentral lists this small RNA (29 nucleotides) under Bombyx mori (domestic silkworm). RNAcentral describes it as "ovarian small RNA-15585". Lineage: Eukaryota; Metazoa; Arthropoda; Insecta; Lepidoptera; Bombycidae. The record is from RNAcentral.